This 1785-nucleotide long non-coding RNA is filed under the name Theobroma cacao (cacao). RNAcentral's name for it is "long non-coding RNA (TCAC_LNC005302)". The record is from RNAcentral. Lineage: Eukaryota; Viridiplantae; Streptophyta; Magnoliopsida; Malvales; Malvaceae.
UGGUAAAGAUCGACUUUUGAGGUGAGUGGGUACACCACUUUCGAAACUAUUUUAAAAUGUAAAGUUGAAAGCAUGGUUGAAUCAUUUGAUGGAUUAUUGAUGAGCAUGUUUUCCAUAAAUAAAAAUGUGUUUAAGCAUGAGAAAAUGUUUUCAAAAUGGUUUUUAAAACUAUUAUGAAUAAGUAAAUAUCCUACUAUGUAGUAGUUUUCAACAAGAGGGGAUAAGCUCUUUUAAUGUUUUGAACAUUUCCUUAGAUUGCUUCAGCCUCUAGGCUAGUGUGGGUACGAGAUGUUAGAAGAGAUAGUGUUUGUGAUUGAUGAAAAUGCUUUUGUGUGUGAGUAUUGUGAAUGUGAAUUGAGUUCUCCACUUUACCAUGACUUAUGGAAUUGAUAUGAUUUGCUAUGUGUUAGCUUUAAAAUUAUUAUAGUUUUGAUUAUGACAAAAUGAUCAAAUUUGCUUGAACAUUAUUUGAGUAAUCUUUGACAAUUUCUUGAAAUGAUUUAACUCCCAUACAUUUGUUCUUAUAUAGACACAAGCUUGACUCUUGAAGUUAUUGAACUAUAUCUAUAAGCUUGUAUGACUUAGGUGUAUAAGUGCUUAUGAUUCUCAUUCAUUAAAGUUUGAUUUAAAGAUUAAAGGAAAAUCUUGAUGCACUCAUUAAGGGGGAGUUUUGAAUAUCUUGCUUAAUGAUGAAAAAGAAAAAGGAGAGAAAGAAGACUAAGUUAAAUAGAGUUAAAUAGGUCUUCAUGUUUAAUUUAUGUGUGUGAUGCUCAGUUUUGGUUUUGUUGAAUAUUAUGUAAAGAAAAGUAGAUACAUUGACUAAGGGGGAGCACCUCAUUAUGCAUAAAGAUUUGAAGCAUUCAUAUUGAACAUAGACAUUACAUUCUUAAUUUUGGAGUGUUUUAUGAUCAUAAAAAAUAAGAGAUAAAGAAUGUUGACUUUAUAUGUUUUUGAUGAUAGCAAAAUAUUCCCAUUCAUUGAUGACUAAUUAUAUUGUUUAAGUGUGUAGGAGAAAGCUUAAAUCAUUAAUAUAUUUGGUAUUUGUAAGCAAGUCAAGAUGCUUGUUCAGUUGCAAGAUGGGUUAAUUGGUUAAACAAGCAAAGAAGAAAGAGCUACAAUUGAGUCACAAAACAGAAGCCUCUUAGUCGGAUGAUGAUAAGAGUUAGUCAGCUAAAAUUUGAAUCAGAAGUUGGCGGGCUUAAGAGAUUGAGAAACAGAAAAGACUUAGUCGACCAAGAAAUGGGUUAGUCGACCAAAAGCAUAUUGCCAAAAAUCUGGACUUCAAGACAAAAACAACUUAAUCGACUAAGAAGGAAGUUAGUCGAUUAAGAGCUCAUUGCCAAAACUGGGAUCAGAAAACAGAGACAACUUAGUUGACUAAGAGCGCAGUUAGUCGACUAAGAUUAUUUUGUCAUAAAAUUUGAAUUGAGCACUAGAAGAUAAAAUAACGGCUAAAAACGGCUAGUUUCUAUCUCCAACGGCCAGAAUUGAUUUUGCAAGCAUUUAAAACCUCUUCAACAGUCAAAAACAAGGGAAAAAAGCCUUCUAUAGUGAUUUUGAGCUUAGAAGACCAAAAACAUUCUCUUUUCACUUGUAUUUCACUCCUAUCCUUUAAAAAAGUGUUUGAGCUUAGCUUUGUACAUCUUAUAUCAGCUAGGUGAUCAAUUGUACUUCAUCUUUUCUUCAUAUCUUGAUUACUUAGAGUGUGCAAGGCACUCUAAGGGGUUGAUCAAGCUUGGGUUAGCUUGGUUGAGUGUAUAGGUUCUAACUUAGCUUAGAAAAGUU